Molecule: ribosomal RNA, 2506 nt
Filed under: Shigella sonnei
Lineage: Bacteria; Pseudomonadati; Pseudomonadota; Gammaproteobacteria; Enterobacterales; Enterobacteriaceae
Description: partial 23S ribosomal RNA
Rfam family: Bacterial large subunit ribosomal RNA
Source: RNAcentral
UAUCCUGUCUGAAUAUGGGGGGACCAUCCUCCAAGGCUAAAUACUCCUGACUGACCGAUAGUGAACCAGUACCGUGAGGGAAAGGCGAAAAGAACCCCGGCGAGGGGAGUGAAAAAGAACCUGAAACCGUGUACGUACAAGCAGUGGGAGCACGCUUAGGCGUGUGACUGCGUACCUUUUGUAUAAUGGGUCAGCGACUUAUAUUCUGUAGCAAGGUUAACCGAAUAGGGGAGCCGAAGGGAAACCGAGUCUUAACUGGGCGUUAAGUUGCAGGGUAUAGACCCGAAACCCGGUGAUCUAGCCAUGGGCAGGUUGAAGGUUGGGUAACACUAACUGGAGGACCGAACCGACUAAUGUUGAAAAAUUAGCGGAUGACUUGUGGCUGGGGGUGAAAGGCCAAUCAAACCGGGAGAUAGCUGGUUCUCCCCGAAAGCUAUUUAGGUAGCGCCUCGUGAAUUCAUCUCCGGGGGUAGAGCACUGUUUCGGCAAGGGGGUCAUCCCGACUUACCAACCCGAUGCAAACUGCGAAUACCGGAGAAUGUUAUCACGGGAGACACACGGCGGGUGCUAACGUCCGUCGUGAAGAGGGAAACAACCCAGACCGCCAGCUAAGGUCCCAAAGUCAUGGUUAAGUGGGAAACGAUGUGGGAAGGCCCAGACAGCCAGGAUGUUGGCUUAGAAGCAGCCAUCAUUUAAAGAAAGCGUAAUAGCUCACUGGUCGAGUCGGCCUGCGCGGAAGAUGUAACGGGGCUAAACCAUGCACCGAAGCUGCGGCAGCGACGCUUAUGCGUUGUUGGGUAGGGGAGCGUUCUGUAAGCCUGCGAAGGUGUGCUGUGAGGCAUGCUGGAGGUAUCAGAAGUGCGAAUGCUGACAUAAGUAACGAUAAAGCGGGUGAAAAGCCCGCUCGCCGGAAGACCAAGGGUUCCUGUCCAACGUUAAUCGGGGCAGGGUGAGUCGACCCCUAAGGCGAGGCCGAAAGGCGUAGUCGAUGGGAAACAGGUUAAUAUUCCUGUACUUGGUGUUACUGCGAAGGGGGGACGGAGAAGGCUAUGUUGGCCGGGCGACGGUUGUCCCGGUUUAAGCGUGUAGGCUGGUUUUCCAGGCAAAUCCGGAAAAUCAAGGCUGAGGCGUGAUGACGAGGCACUACGGUGCUGAAGCAACAAAUGCCCUGCUUCCAGGAAAAGCCUCUAAGCAUCAGGUAACAUCAAAUCGUACCCCAAACCGACACAGGUGGUCAGGUAGAGAAUACCAAGGCGCUUGAGAGAACUCGGGUGAAGGAACUAGGCAAAAUGGUGCCGUAACUUCGGGAGAAGGCACGCUGAUAUGUAGGUGAAGUCCCUUGCGGAUGGAGCUGAAAUCAGUCGAAGAUACCAGCUGGCUGCAACUGUUUAUUAAAAACACAGCACUGUGCAAACACGAAAGUGGACGUAUACGGUGUGACGCCUGCCCGGUGCCGGAAGGUUAAUUGAUGGGGUCAGCGCAAGCGAAGCUCUUGAUCGAAGCCCCGGUAAACGGCGGCCGUAACUAUAACGGUCCUAAGGUAGCGAAAUUCCUUGUCGGGUAAGUUCCGACCUGCACGAAUGGCGUAAUGAUGGCCAGGCUGUCUCCACCCGAGACUCAGUGAAAUUGAACUCGCUGUGAAGAUGCAGUGUACCCGCGGCAAGACGGAAAGACCCCGUGAACCUUUACUAUAGCUUGACACUGAACAUUGAGCCUUGAUGUGUAGGAUAGGUGGGAGGCUUUGAAGUGUGGACGCCAGUCUGCAUGGAGCCGGCCUUGAAAUACCACCCUUUAAUGUUUGAUGUUCUAACGUGGACCCGUGAUCCGGGUUGCGGACAGUGUCUGGUGGGUAGUUUGACUGGGGCGGUCUCCUCCUAAAGAGUAACGGAGGAGCACGAAGGUUGGCUAAUCCUGGUCGGACAUCAGGAGGUUAGUGCAAUGGCAUAAGCCAGCUUGACUGCGAGCGUGACGGCGCGAGCAGGUGCGAAAGCAGGUCAUAGUGAUCCGGUGGUUCUGAAUGGAAGGGCCAUCGCUCAACGGAUAAAAGGUACUCCGGGGAUAACAGGCUGAUACCGCCCAAGAGUUCAUAUCGACGGCGGUGUUUGGCACCUCGAUGUCGGCUCAUCACAUCCUGGGGCUGAAGUAGGUCCCAAGGGUAUGGCUGUUCGCCAUUUAAAGUGGUACGCGAGCUGGGUUUAGAACGUCGUGAGACAGUUCGGUCCCUAUCUGCCGUGGGCGCUGGAGAACUGAGGGGGGCUGCUCCUAGUACGAGAGGACCGGAGUGGACGCAUCACUGGUGUUCGGGUUGUCAUGCCAAUGGCACUGCCCGGUAGCUAAAUGCGGAAGAGAUAAGUGCUGAAAGCAUCUAAGCACGAAACUUGCCCCGAGAUGAGUUCUCCCUGACCCUUUAAGGGUCCUGAAGGAACGUUGAAGACGACGACGUUGAUAGGCCGGGUGUGUAAGCGCAGCGAUGCGUUGAGCUAACCGGUACUAAUGAACCGUGAGG